GAUGAACGCUGGCGGCGUGCCUAAUACAUGCAAGUCGAGCGAACGGACGAGAAGCUUGCUUCUCUGAUGUUAGCGGCGGACGGGUGAGUAACACGUGGAUAACCUACCUAUAAGACUGGGAUAACUUCGGGAAACCGUAGCUAAUACCGGAUAAUAUUUUGAACCGCAUGGUUCAAAAGUGAAAGACGGUCUUGCUGUCACUUAUAGAUGGAUCCGCGCUGCUUUGGCUAUAUGGUAAGGAAACGCCUUACCAAGGCAACGUUGCAUAGCCGACCUGAGAGGGGGAUCGCCCACACUGGACCUGAACAACGGCCCAGACUCCUACGGGAGGCAGCAGUAGGGAAUCUUCCGCAUUGGGCGAAAGCCUGACGGAGCAACGCCGCGUGGGUGAUGAAGGCCUUCGGAUCUUAAAACUCUGUUAUUAGGGAAGAACAUAUGUGUAAGUAACUGUGCACAUCUUGACGGUACCUAAUCAGAAAGCCACGGCCAACUACGUG
This 497-nucleotide ribosomal RNA is filed under the name uncultured bacterium. RNAcentral's name for it is "partial 16S ribosomal RNA". It matches the Rfam family "Bacterial small subunit ribosomal RNA", at positions 28 to 507 of the family's 1533-position model. The record is from RNAcentral.